UAAAAUGCGCAAAUAUUUUAAAUAAGCAACUGGUUAUAAAAUACUCAUUGUUGUUGGAGAAUAUUCGUUUGGUCGUGGAAUAUUCUUACUGUCGGGGAAUAUUCGUAUGACGGCACAUCCUUCUGUGGGCCCAUAACGAAAAGCGAUUGGAUGAAGAAAACGACAAGUAUAAGUUGUUUAUAAAUAACGGCGCAGUUGUUACCGUUAAUACUGUUGGAAUACCCGGUGGUUAAAACACAGUAAUACGCGUUGUUGCACAGUAGCACAUGGUAUUGCACCAAUUAUUGAUUCUUACGUAAGAAGGCACUACUCAAUAAUUGUUAUAGUAAUUACUGUUCAGUAUUGAUUCAAUAAUUGCUGCGUUGAUAUUUUAUAUUACUGUUGUUUCAAUAAUUGUC
Molecule: long non-coding RNA, 398 nt
Filed under: Panax ginseng (ginseng)
Lineage: Eukaryota; Viridiplantae; Streptophyta; Magnoliopsida; Apiales; Araliaceae
Description: long non-coding RNA (PGIN_LNC004499)
Source: RNAcentral